This 440-nucleotide non-coding RNA is filed under the name Streptomyces afghaniensis 772. RNAcentral's name for it is "Bacterial large subunit ribosomal RNA". It matches the Rfam family "Bacterial large subunit ribosomal RNA", at positions 2367 to 2806 of the family's 2925-position model. The record is from Rfam by way of RNAcentral. Lineage: Bacteria; Bacillati; Actinomycetota; Actinomycetes; Kitasatosporales; Streptomycetaceae.
GCUUGACUGUGAGACCGACGGGUCGAGCAGGGACGAAAGUCGGGACUAGUGAUCCGGCGGUGGCUUGUGGAAGCGCCGUCGCUCAACGGAUAAAAGGUACCCCGGGGAUAACAGGCUGAUCUUCCCCAAGAGUCCAUAUCGACGGGAUGGUUUGGCACCUCGAUGUCGGCUCGUCGCAUCCUGGGGCUGGAGUCGGUCCCAAGGGUUGGGCUGUUCGCCCAUUAAAGCGGUACGCGAGCUGGGUUUAGAACGUCGUGAGACGGUUCGGUCCCUAUCCGCUGUGCGCGUAGGAGUCUUGAGAAGGGCUGUCCCUAGUACGAGAGGACCGGGACGGACGAACCUCUGGUGUGCCAGUUGUUCUGCCAAGGGCAUGGCUGGUUGGCUACGUUCGGGAGGAUAACCGCUAGAAAGCAUCUAAGCGGGAAGCCUGCUUCGAGAUG